AUGUCUUGGAAUGUUAGGGGCCUGAACUCGCCGGCAAAGUGUCCGGCGGUUAGUGAGGUAGUUUUGUCACAUCGUUUAGGCAUUUUGUGCUUGCAGGAAACCAAGAUUGAAUCUUGGACGUCGGCGACUGUCGGAGAUAUUGGUGGCUCGCAGCUGGAGGGAUGCGUGGUGCUACCAGCUGAUGGCUCCAGGGGAGGGGCGGCCAUUUUUUGGGACAAGUUCAGUGUAGAUGUUUAA
This 237-nucleotide ribosomal RNA is filed under the name Triticum aestivum (bread wheat). RNAcentral describes it as "partial small subunit ribosomal RNA". Lineage: Eukaryota; Viridiplantae; Streptophyta; Magnoliopsida; Poales; Poaceae. The record is from RNAcentral.